RNAcentral lists this ribosomal RNA (458 nucleotides) under uncultured bacterium. RNAcentral describes it as "bacterial SSU rRNA". It matches the Rfam family "Bacterial small subunit ribosomal RNA", at positions 33 to 507 of the family's 1533-position model. The record is from RNAcentral.
ACGCUGGCGGCGCGCUUAAUACAUGCAAGUCGAACGAGAAGCCAGAGCUUGCUCUGGUGGAAAGUGGCGAACGGGUGAGUAACACGUGAAAAACCUGCCCCAAAGAUUGGGAUAAGCCUUGGAAACGAGGUCUAAUACCAAAUACCUUCUUUUUAACACAUGUUAAAAAGAAGAAAUGCUCCGGCGCUUUGGGAUGGUCUCGCGAUCUAUCAGCUUGUUGGUGAGGUAACGGCUCACCAAGGCAUCGACGGAUAGCUGGUCUGAGAGGAUGUCCAGCCACAUUGGAACUGAGACACGGUCCAAACUCCUACGGGAGGCAGCAGUAGGGAAUCUUGCACAAUGAGGGAAACCUUGAUGCAGCGACGCCGCGUGCGGGACGAAGGCCCUAGGGUUGUAAACCGCUUUCAGUAGGGACGAAAGUGACGGUACCUACAGAAGAAGCCCCGGCCAACUAUGUG